GAUGAACGCUGGCGGCGUGCCUAAUACAUGCAAGUCGAGCGAACAGACGAGGAGCUUGCUCCUCUGACGUUAGCGGCGGACGGGUGAGUAACACGUGGAUAACCUACCUAUAAGACUGUGAUAACUUCGGGAAACCGGAGCUAAUACCGGAUAAUAUAUUGAACCGCAUGGUUCAAUAGUGAAAGACGGUUUUGCUGUCACUUAUAGAUGGAUCCGCGCCGCAUUAGCUAGUUGGUAAGGUAACGGCUUACCAAGGCAACGAUGCGUAGCCGACCUGAGAGAGUGAUCGGCCACACUGGAACUGAGACACGGUCCAGACGCCUACGGGAGGCAGCAGUAGGGAAUCUUCCGCAAUGGGCGAAAGCUUGACGGAGCAACGCCGCGUGAGUGAUGAAGGUCUUCGGAUCGUAAAACUCUGUUAUUAGGGAAGAACAAAUGUGUAAGUAACUAUGCACGUCUUGACGGUACCUAAUCAGAAAGCCACGGCUAACUACGUG
This 497-nucleotide ribosomal RNA is filed under the name uncultured bacterium. Its description in RNAcentral is "partial 16S ribosomal RNA". It matches the Rfam family "Bacterial small subunit ribosomal RNA", at positions 28 to 507 of the family's 1533-position model. The record is from RNAcentral.